UGCCAGCCGCCGCGGUAAUACGAAGGGUGCUAGCGUUGUUCGGAAUUACUGGGCGUAAAGAGCAUGUAGGCGGAUGAAUUAGUCAGAGGUGAAAGCCCCGAGCUCAACUUGGGAACUGCCUUUGAUACUGUUUAUCUAGAGUCCGAGAGAGGUGAGUGGAAUUCCGAGUGUAGAGGUGAAAUUCGUAGAUAUUCGGAGGAACACCAGUGGCGAAGGCGGCUCACUGGCUCGAUACUGACGCUGAGGAGCGAAAGCUAGGGGAGCGAACAGGAUUAGAUA
This 279-nucleotide ribosomal RNA is filed under the name uncultured bacterium. Its description in RNAcentral is "partial 16S ribosomal RNA". It matches the Rfam family "Bacterial small subunit ribosomal RNA", at positions 506 to 784 of the family's 1533-position model. The record is from RNAcentral.